UUAAGCGACUAAGCGUACACGGUGGAUGCCCUGGCAGUCAGAGGCGAUGAAGGGCGUGCUAAUCUGCGAUAAGCGCCGGUAAGGUGAUAUGAACCGUUAUAACCGGCGAUACCCGAAUGGGGAAACCCAGUGUGAUUCGUCACACUAUCAUUAACUGAAUCCAUAGGUUAAUGAGGCGAACCGGGGGAACUGAAACAUCUAAGUACCCCGAGGAAAAGAAAUCAACCGAGAUUCCCCCAGUAGCGGCGAGCGAACGGGGAGGAGCCCAGAGCCUGAAUCAGCAUGUGUGUUAGUGGAAGCGUCUGGAAAGGCGCGCGAUACAGGGUGACAGCCCCGUACACAAAAGCGCAUGUGCUGUGAGCUCGAUGAGUAGGGCGGGACACGUGGUAUCCUGUCUGAAUAUGGGGGGACCAUCCUCCAAGGCUAAAUACUCCUGACUGACCGAUAGUGAACCAGUACCGUGAGGGAAAGGCGAAAAGAACCCCGGCGAGGGGAGUGAAAAAGAACCUGAAACCGUGUACGUACAAGCAGUGGGAGCACAGGUUUACCUGUGUGACUGCGUACCUUUUGUAUAAUGGGUCAGCGACUUAUAUUCUGUAGCAAGGUUAACCGUAUAGGGGAGCCGUAGGGAAACCGAGUCUUAACCGGGCGUUAAGUUGCAGGGUAUAGACCCGAAACCCGGUGAUCUAGCCAUGGGCAGGUUGAAGGUUGGGUAACACUAACUGGAGGACCGAACCGACUAAUGUUGAAAAAUUAGCGGAUGACCUGUGGCUGGGGGUGAAAGGCCAAUCAAACCGGGAGAUAGCUGGUUCUCCCCGAAAGCUAUUUAGGUAGCGCCUCGUGAAUUCAUCUCCGGGGGUAGAGCACUGUUUCGGCUAGGGGGCCAUCCCGGCUUACCAACCCGAUGCAAACUGCGAAUACCGGAGAAUGUUAUCACGGGAGACACACGGCGGGUGCUAACGUCCGUCGUGAAGAGGGAAACAACCCAGACCGCCAGCUAAGGUCCCAAAGUCAUGGUUAAGUGGGAAACGAUGUGGGAAGGCCCAGACAGCCAGGAUGUUGGCUUAGAAGCAGCCAUCAUUUAAAGAAAGCGUAAUAGCUCACUGGUCGAGUCGGCCUGCGCGGAAGAUGUAACGGGGCUAAACCAUGCACCGAAGCUGCGGCAGCGAACGUAUCACCCAAGACAACUUUACGGAGUUGACGAUUGACGGAGCGAAGCGACGUCAAAGCGUUCAUUAAAGUCGAGUUGGCUUAGGGAUACGUUCGUUGGGUAGGGGAGCGUUCUGUAAGCCUGUGAAGGUGUGUCGUGAGGCAUGCUGGAGGUAUCAGAAGUGCGAAUGCUGACAUAAGUAACGAUAAAGCGGGUGAAAAGCCCGCUCGCCGGAAGACCAAGGGUUCCUGUCCAACGUUAAUCGGGGCAGGGUGAGUCGACCCCUAAGGCGAGGCCGAAAGGCGUAGUCGAUGGGAAACGGGUUAAUAUUCCCGUACUUGGUGUUACUGCGAAGGGGGGACGGAGAAGGCUAUGUUGGCCGGGCGACGGUUGUCCCGGUUUAAGCGUGUAGGUGUGUGUUCCAGGUAAAUCCGGUUCACUUUAACACUGAGGCGUGAUGACGAGGCACUACGGUGCUGAAGCAACAAAUGCCCUGCUUCCAGGAAAAGCCUCUAAGCAUCAGGUAACAUCAAAUCGUACCCCAAACCGACACAGGUGGUCAGGUAGAGAAUACCAAGGCGCUUGAGAGAACUCGGGUGAAGGAACUAGGCAAAAUGGUGCCGUAACUUCGGGAGAAGGCACGCUGACACGUAGGUGAAGUGAUUUACUCACGGAGCUGAAGUCAGUCGAAGAUACCAGCUGGCUGCAACUGUUUAUUAAAAACACAGCACUGUGCAAACACGAAAGUGGACGUAUACGGUGUGACGCCUGCCCGGUGCCGGAAGGUUAAUUGAUGGGGUCAGCGCAAGCGAAGCUCCUGAUCGAAGCCCCGGUAAACGGCGGCCGUAACUAUAACGGUCCUAAGGUAGCGAAAUUCCUUGUCGGGUAAGUUCCGACCUGCACGAAUGGCGUAAUGAUGGCCAGGCUGUCUCCACCCGAGACUCAGUGAAAUUGAACUCGCUGUGAAGAUGCAGUGUACCCGCGGCAAGACGGAAAGACCCCGUGAACCUUUACUAUAGCUUGACACUGAACAUUGAGCCUUGAUGUGUAGGAUAGGUGGGAGGCUUUGAAGUGUGGACGCCAGUCUGCAUGGAGCCGACCUUGAAAUACCACCCUUUAAUGUUUGAUGUUCUAACGUGGACCCGUAAUCCGGGUUGCGGACAGUGUCUGGUGGGUAGUUUGACUGGGGCGGUCUCCUCCUAAAGAGUAACGGAGGAGCACGAAGGUUGGCUAAUCCUGGUCGGACAUCAGGAGGUUAGUGCAAUGGCAUAAGCCAGCUUGACUGCGAGCGUGACGGCGCGAGCAGGUGCGAAAGCAGGUCAUAGUGAUCCGGUGGUUCUGAAUGGAAGGGCCAUCGCUCAACGGAUAAAAGGUACUCCGGGGAUAACAGGCUGAUACCGCCCAAGAGUUCAUAUCGACGGCGGUGUUUGGCACCUCGAUGUCGGCUCAUCACAUCCUGGGGCUGAAGUAGGUCCCAAGGGUAUGGCUGUUCGCCAUUUAAAGUGGUACGCGAGCUGGGUUUAGAACGUCGUGAGACAGUUCGGUCCCUAUCUGCCGUGGGCGCUGGAGAACUGAGGGGGGCUGCUCCUAGUACGAGAGGACCGGAGUGGACGCAUCACUGGUGUUCGGGUUGUCAUGCCAAUGGCACUGCCCGGUAGCUAAAUGCGGAAGAGAUAAGUGCUGAAAGCAUCUAAGCACGAAACUUGCCCCGAGAUGAGUUCUCCCUGAGACUUAGAGUCUCCUGAAGGAACGUUGAAGACGACGACGUUGAUAGGCCGGGUGUGUAAGCGCAGCGAUGCGUUGAGCUAACCGGUACUAAUGAACCGUGAGGCUUAACCUU
RNAcentral lists this ribosomal RNA (2990 nucleotides) under Salmonella enterica subsp. enterica serovar Typhimurium. Its description in RNAcentral is "bacterial LSU rRNA". It matches the Rfam family "Bacterial large subunit ribosomal RNA". Lineage: Bacteria; Pseudomonadati; Pseudomonadota; Gammaproteobacteria; Enterobacterales; Enterobacteriaceae. The record is from RNAcentral.